CAGCAACAUCUCCGGAAAAUUGAGCAUUCGCAGACUUUUUGUGCAUACCAUUGGCAACAGCAGCUCUCAUAGCUAUACCAAAGUACAUGUAUACAACUUCGUGUGCCAAUGUUGGAGACAAAUACAUACCGGCUAGGAAGAAAGACUGUACUGUUUCCAACGACGAUUCACUGAUGACUUUGGGAAAAAGAAGUUUGGCGUUUUGGUAAAACUGAGAGCCAGGAUAAGUCCAACGAUCGUGAUUUUCAUCAGAAAGGAACUCUGGAUGGCGAAUGUAGGAGAAUAGACUGCCCAUGGCCAUGCUCAGAAGAAGCAUACACACAAAACCACCAUCUUUUGAUUGAAAGGAAGUUGGAUCAUCGAAAAGAUGAUGGACUUUUGCAGCAAACAGCUUGGUAUUAUAAUAAAAAUGGUUGUUGUCACUAGAAAAUUGCCAAAAUGUCAUAAGUAAAUAAAAAGUGAUAUCCUUUGGGGGUAAUGCAUGGAUUAAAGAGGCGACAGUAUUAUCGGCGGGAUCUAAAAUAUCUUCAAAUGUUUUAUUUCCUUUCUAUUGAGAAAAACGGGUUAGUAAAGAACAGUAAAAUCGAUGAUGCCCCACAACAUAGCAAGGGUAUGAAAUGAAGUAGAUGAAUCCAUCAAUACAUACGUUAGUGAGUUUAUGCUGCACCUGAAAUUCCCUGCCCUGGCAAAUGAUCUCGUGCACGCGAGCGACGAAGCUUUCGUUAGAGCCGGCAUCUUCGUAAUAUGUCUGUGUCUCAUUCAAAGUCACUUGUUGAUAGCUUCCAAGUUCGAUGUCGGUAAGUACUUUAUCAGGAUAGGUUUGAAGGCUUUCACUAAGCUCCGCAAUCUUUGCUUCCAAGCUGGGCAAAUCCAAGCUCAUACUUGGCAUGAGUUUAGAAAGGAUGGUCUCCAUAUGACUGAGUCUCUGAAGAUUGAGAGAAAUUUCGUCUUUAUUCAUAAGCAAUCU
Non-coding RNA from Schizosaccharomyces pombe (fission yeast), 967 nucleotides. NCBI's taxonomy places the organism in Eukaryota, Fungi, Ascomycota, Schizosaccharomycetes, Schizosaccharomycetales, Schizosaccharomycetaceae. The record is from the annotation of a GenBank genome assembly.